GAUGAAGAACGCAGCGAAAUGCGAUAAGUAAUGUGAAUUGCAGAAUUCAGUGAAUCAUCGAAUCUUUGAACGCACAUUGCGCCCCCUGGUAUUCCGGGGGGCAUGCCUGUCCGAGCGUCAUUACAACCCUCAAGCUCAGCUUGGUAUUGGGCCCCGCCGACCCGGCGGGCCCUAAAGUCAGUGGCGGUGCCGUCCGGCUCCGAGCGUAGUAAUUCUUCUCGCUCUGGAGGUCCGGUCGUGUGCUCGCCAGCAACCCCCAAUUUUUUUCAGGUUGACCUCGGAUCAGGUAGGGAUACCCGCUGAACUUAAGCAUAUCAAUAAGCGGAGGA
Molecule: unclassified non-coding RNA, 329 nt
Filed under: soil metagenome
Description: partial contains 5.8S ribosomal RNA, internal transcribed spacer 2, and large subunit ribosomal RNA
Rfam family: 5.8S ribosomal RNA (bases 1-120)
Source: RNAcentral